GACAGAGGGUGCAAACGUUGUUCGGAAUUACUGGGCGUAAAGCGCGUGUAGGCGGCUUGGCAAGUCGGGUGUGAAAGCCCCGGGCUCAACCUGGGAAGUGCACUCGAAACUGCUUGGCUUGAGUACUGGAGAGGGAAGCGGAAUUCUCGGUGUAGAGGUGAAAUGCGUAGAUAUCGAGAGGAACACCAGUGGCGAAGGCGAGUCCCUGGACAAAACCUGACACUGAGGCACGAAAGCUAGGGGAGCAAACAGG
RNAcentral lists this ribosomal RNA (253 nucleotides) under uncultured bacterium. RNAcentral's name for it is "partial 16S ribosomal RNA". It matches the Rfam family "Bacterial small subunit ribosomal RNA", at positions 524 to 776 of the family's 1533-position model. The record is from RNAcentral.